GUCCUCGUAGCUUAAUAACAAAGCAUGGCACUGAAGAUGCCAAGAUGGCCCACUAAAUGCCCGAUGACA
This 69-nucleotide transfer RNA is filed under the name Gymnogyps californianus (California condor). RNAcentral's name for it is "tRNA-Phe". It matches the Rfam family "tRNA". Rfam says of the family: Transfer RNA (tRNA) molecules are approximately 80 nucleotides in length. Lineage: Eukaryota; Metazoa; Chordata; Aves; Accipitriformes; Cathartidae. The record is from RNAcentral.